This 254-nucleotide ribosomal RNA is filed under the name uncultured bacterium. RNAcentral's name for it is "partial 16S ribosomal RNA". It matches the Rfam family "Bacterial small subunit ribosomal RNA", at positions 524 to 776 of the family's 1533-position model. The record is from RNAcentral.
UACGUAGGGUCCGAGCGUUGUCCGGAAUUACUGGGCGUAAAGAGCUCGUAGGUGGUUUGUCGCGUUGUUCGUGAAAACUCACAGCUCAACUGUGGGCGUGCGGGCGAUACGGGCAGACUGGAGUACUGCAGGGGAGACUGGAAUUCCUGGUGUAGCGGUGGAAUGCGCAGAUAUCAGGAGGAACACCGGUGGCGAAGGCGGGUCUCUGGACCGAUGACUGACGCUGAGGCGCGAAAGCGUGGGGAGCAAACAGG